UACGUAGGGGGCAAGCGUUGUCCGGAUUUACUGGGCGUAAAGAGCGCGCAGGCGGUCGUUCAAGUCGAGUGUGAAAGCCCCCGGCUCAACUGGGGAGGGUCACUCGAUACUGAUCGACUCGAAGGCAGGAGAGGGAAGUGGAAUUCCCGGUGUAGUGGUGAAAUGCGUAGAUAUCGGGAGGAACACCAGUGGCGAAAGCGGCGCGCUGGAUCCCUUCUGACGCUGAGGCGCGAAAGCCAGGGGAGCGAACAGG
Molecule: ribosomal RNA, 253 nt
Filed under: uncultured bacterium
Lineage: Bacteria
Description: partial 16S ribosomal RNA
Rfam family: Bacterial small subunit ribosomal RNA
Source: RNAcentral